GGUUUGGUUGACCGGUCCGCCUCACCGGCGUGUUUACUGGCUUCAGCCGAACCUUUCCUUCUGGCUAACCGCAUGCCCUUCACUGGGUGUGUUUUUGGGGAACCAGGACUUUUACUUUGAAAAAAUUAGAGUGUUUAAAGCAGGCUCACGCUUGAAUACAUUAGCAUGGAAUAACGAAAU
Molecule: ribosomal RNA, 180 nt
Filed under: uncultured Glomeromycotina
Lineage: Eukaryota; Fungi; Glomeromycota
Description: partial small subunit ribosomal RNA
Source: RNAcentral